RNAcentral lists this non-coding RNA (25 nucleotides) under Rattus norvegicus (Norway rat). The record is from RNAcentral. Lineage: Eukaryota; Metazoa; Chordata; Mammalia; Rodentia; Muridae.
UGAAAUAAGUAAGAAAGGUAGGUGU